Molecule: transfer RNA, 69 nt
Filed under: Bos taurus (domestic cattle)
Lineage: Eukaryota; Metazoa; Chordata; Mammalia; Artiodactyla; Bovidae
Also listed under: 2 other names
Rfam family: tRNA
About the family: Transfer RNA (tRNA) molecules are approximately 80 nucleotides in length. Their secondary structure includes four short double-helical elements and three loops (D, anti-codon, and T loops).
Source: Rfam by way of RNAcentral
CCUGGUGGCUCAGAUGGUAAAGAAUCUGCCUGUAAUGCAGGAGACCUGGGUUCAAUUCCUGGGUCAGGA